UACGUAGGGGGCGAGCGUUGUCCGGAGUUACUGGGCGUAAAGGGCGUGCAGGCGGUGCGGUAAGUUUAGAGUGACAGUAUCCGGCUUAACUGGAUAAGGCCUCUGAAAACUGCCGGACUUGAGGGCCAGAGAGGGACAUAGAAUUCCGGGUGGAGUGGUGAAAUGCCGUAGAGAUGUGGAGGAACACCGAUGGCGAAGGCAGCCCCCUGGGUCAAGAUUGACGCUCAUGCACGAA
Molecule: ribosomal RNA, 235 nt
Filed under: uncultured bacterium
Lineage: Bacteria
Description: partial 16S ribosomal RNA
Rfam family: Bacterial small subunit ribosomal RNA
Source: RNAcentral